CCCCGUGAAGAAGCGAGGAUAACACUAUAAGACGAGAAGACCCCAUGGAGCUUUAAACCCAAUUAUAUCCCUAACCCCUAUACCCAUUUAACCUCUUAGGCCUAUAUACUUGGUUUUAGGUUGGGGCGACCACGGAGUAAAACCAAACCUCCAUGAUGUACGGAACAACCUCCUUAUCUAAGAGCCACAGCUCUAAGAAUUAGCACACUAUCAUAAAAUGACCCAUUAUUGAUCAACGAACCAAGUUACCCUGGGGAUAACAGCGCAAUCCAUUUUAAGAGCCCCUAUCGACAAAUGGGUUUACGACCUCGAUGUUGGAUCAGGAUAUCCCAGUGGUGCAGCAACUACUAAAGGUUCGUUUGUUCAACGAUCAAAAUCCU
This 380-nucleotide ribosomal RNA is filed under the name Mantidactylus femoralis. RNAcentral's name for it is "partial 16S ribosomal RNA". It matches the Rfam family "Bacterial large subunit ribosomal RNA", at positions 2049 to 2597 of the family's 2925-position model. The record is from RNAcentral. Lineage: Eukaryota; Metazoa; Chordata; Amphibia; Anura; Mantellidae.